GGAAGGGAGGAUGUAGGAGUAACAUGUAAAACUGAGGCUAAAACCUGUUUAGUCCCAAAUCCUGACAAAUAGCUGGUAAACAAGUAUUUAAAUGAGAGCUUGGACUUUGUUUUCUCCCUCUGGAAACCUGGGAAGGCCUUGGUCUCAUUGCCAGCUCCAGUAUCCCUUCCAUCUCCUCUUAUCCUGCAUCUCCAGCGCUCCUCUUUUUUUUUGCCUGCAUUUCUUACAUGUCCCAUUUCUCCUUCUGCUCCAGUGGAUGUGAAGACCACUCUGAGCUGGGAAGAGCCGUGUUUUCUUCCAGCAGGUUUUCCACAGAGCCUCACGGGUGUUUCUCUCUCUCUCUCUCUCUCUCUCCCCCUGUCCUUGCUGCUGCAGAGCUCUGGAAUGCUGUGAAGACUCCCUGCCCAGGCACACUCCUCUCCGGAUUAUCUCCAUCCCAAGGAAGCUCGUAUCCAAGAGUGCCUGGCAUGAUGAGACCUGAGCAGGUCAAGCCCUUUGAGCAUAUAUAAAUAUGUGUGUAUGUAUAUACACACACAUAGGUAAGAGAAUUUAAUAUGUUCUAAGAGUGGGAGAGCAUGAUCUUCAGGAGCUGUGAAACAGGAACAAACCCUCUCAGGAAAUCCCUCUGGGAAGUAUGCUGGGAAAAUGUCCCUGUGUGCCUGCCCUUCAAUUUUCCCUCAGGGAUUCACACUUCCCUGUUGGGCAGACAAGACACAGGGGUGGCUGAGGUUUCUGUCUGACCCAUCCAGCUGUUCUUGUGCAGAAAUAUGGAAAAACAGGGUUGGCUCUAUGUUUUUUUUCAUUUUAUAUGUUUUGCUGCUCACUUAAUGACAUGAACUUUAAAUGUCAGCUGCUCCUGGGUCUGCUGCACUGCAUUGGGAUCAAACCUUUGGGCACACUCUGACCCUUAUCCUUAAAAUAAUUUAGCACUGCAGCCCUGCUUUGGGAAAAACUGCCCUUAAAUCAAUACCUUCUCUUUGGAUACAGACAAAAUCUGGGUGUUUCUUCCUCUACCGCCACCCCAACUUGGGUGGGAUGGGACAGAAAAUGCCAAGGAUUUCAGAAAAGCUUUUCCUUGCUUGUGCCAGCCUUGAGGCAACAACAAUAAUCCCCUCUCCAUCUUCUGCUUCCCCUUUUUCCCCUCUUCACGCUACAAAAAAUGAUAAAUUAAAAAAAAAAAAAGGGACUCUGAUGCUGCUCCCGUCCCUUUUUUCUGUAUGGUUUCCCCUGUUUGGGCUGUGCAGCUUUUUGGGGGUCUGAGAAGCAGAAAUCCAGAGCUGUGGAAGGGGAGAGGCAAAACCAAGGGUGGGUUUGAUGGGUGGUGAGGUGGGAGAAGGGACACAAAGACUAGAACUGAUGGGAGAUCCAGAGAACAAGAUCGUGUUUCAGGUGAGAAUAUGUCAAUUGUUGGUUUUGCAUAAGAAAACUCCUGCUCCAAGGACUCCUGGUCCAAUCCAGCUCCAGAUUAAGAAAUUUUAAGCUCAAGAGUGGAAUUGAUGGAGCCUGUGG
Molecule: long non-coding RNA, 1509 nt
Filed under: Cyanistes caeruleus (blue tit)
Lineage: Eukaryota; Metazoa; Chordata; Aves; Passeriformes; Paridae
Description: lncRNA (ENSCCEG00000003516.1)
Source: RNAcentral